Molecule: ribosomal RNA, 254 nt
Filed under: uncultured bacterium
Lineage: Bacteria
Description: partial 16S ribosomal RNA
Rfam family: Bacterial small subunit ribosomal RNA
Source: RNAcentral
UACGUAGGGACCAAGCGUUGUUCGGAUUUACUGGGCGUAAAGGGCGCGUAGGCGGCGUGACAAGUCACUUGUGAAAUCUCCGGGCUUAACUCGGAACGGCCAAGUGAUACUGUCGUGCUAGAGUGCAGAAGGGGCAAUCGGAAUUCUUGGUGUAGCGGUGAAAUGCGUUGAUAUCGUUCGGAACACCAAUAGCGUAGGCAGGCUUCUGGGUGCCACCUGACACUGCUAGGACGAAAGCGUGGGGAGCGAAUGGG